This 269-nucleotide ribosomal RNA is filed under the name uncultured Enterobacteriaceae bacterium. Its description in RNAcentral is "partial 16S ribosomal RNA". It matches the Rfam family "Bacterial small subunit ribosomal RNA", at positions 71 to 339 of the family's 1533-position model. The record is from RNAcentral. Lineage: Bacteria; Pseudomonadati; Pseudomonadota; Gammaproteobacteria; Enterobacterales; Enterobacteriaceae.
AUGAGAAGCUUGCUUCUCGGAUACUUAGCGGCGGACGGGUGAGUAACACGUAGGCAACCUGCCCUCAAGCUUGGGACAACUACCGGAAACGGUAGCUAAUACCGAAUAACGUCGCAAGACCAAAGAGGGGGACCUUCGGGCCUCUUGCCAUCAGAUGUGCCCAGAUGGGAUUAGCUAGUAGGUGGGGUAACGGCUCACCUAGGCGACGAUCCCUAGCUGGUCUGAGAGGAUGACCAGCCACACUGGAACUGAGACACGGUCCAGACUCC